RNAcentral lists this ribosomal RNA (374 nucleotides) under uncultured bacterium. RNAcentral describes it as "bacterial SSU rRNA". It matches the Rfam family "Bacterial small subunit ribosomal RNA", at positions 28 to 406 of the family's 1533-position model. The record is from RNAcentral.
GAUGAACGCUAGCGGCAGGCUUAACACAUGCAAGUCGAGGGGUAUGCUUCUUCGGAAGCAGAGACCGGCGCACGGGUGCGUAACGCGUAUGCAAUCUACCUUUUACAGAGGGAUAGCCCAGAGAAAUUUGGAUUAAUACCUCAUAGUAUUAUAGAAUGGCAUCAUUUUAUAAUUAAAGUCACAACGGUAAAAGAUGAGCAUGCGUCCCAUUAGCUAGUUGGAAGGUAACGGCUUACCAAGGCUACGAUGGGUAGGGGUCCUGAGAGGGAGAUCCCCCACACUGGUACUGAGACACGGACCAGACUCCUACGGGAGGCAGCAGUGAGGAAUAUUGGACAAUGGGCGCAAGCCUGAUCCAGCCAUGCCGCGUGGGU